ACGGGUGAGUAACACGUAUCCAACCUUUCCCUUACUCGGGUAUAGCCUCGGGAAACUGAGAGUAAUCCCCGAUGAAGUGUACGAUAAGCAUUUUUUGCACACCAAAGAUUUAUCGGUAAGGGGUGGGGAUGCGUUCCAUUAGGUAGUAGGCGGGGCAACGGCCCACCUAGCCGAUGAUGGAUAGGGGUUCUGAGAGGAAGGUCCCCCACAUUGGAACUGCGACACGGUCCAAACUCCUACGGGAGGCAGCAGUGAGGAAUAUUGGUCAAUGGUCGGAAGACUGAACCAGCCAAGUAGCGUGCAGGAUGACGGCCCUAUGGGUUGUAAACUGCUUUUGUGCGGGAAUAACGUUGUGCUCGUGAGCGCAAGUGCAUGUACCGUACGAAUAAGGAUCGGCUAACUCCGUGCCAGCAGCCGCGGUAAUACGGAGGAUCCGAGCGUUAUCCGGAUUUAUUGGGUUUAAAGGGAGCGUAGGCGGGAGAUCAAGUCAGCUGUGAAAUGUAGACGCUCAACGUCUGCACUGCAGUUGAAACUGGUUUUCUUGAGUGCGUAAGGGGCAGGCGGAAUUCGUCGUGUAGCGGUGAAAUGCUUAGAUAUGACGAAGAACUCCGAUCGCGAAGGCAGCUUGCCGGGCCGCAACUGACGCUGAAGCUCGAAGGUGCGGGUAUCGAACAGGAUUAGAUACCCUGGUAGUCCGCACAGUAAACGAUGGAUACUCGCUGUCGGCGAUAUACGGUCGGUGGCCAAGCGAAAGCGUUAAGUAUCCCACCUGGGGAGUACGCCGGCAACGGUGAAACUCAAAGGAAUUGACGG
Molecule: ribosomal RNA, 813 nt
Filed under: uncultured bacterium
Lineage: Bacteria
Description: bacterial SSU rRNA
Rfam family: Bacterial small subunit ribosomal RNA
Source: RNAcentral